AGAGUGAACGCUGGCGGUAGGCCUAACACAUGCAAGUCGAACGGCAGCACAGUGGUAGCAAUACCAUGGGUGGCGAGUGGCGGACGGGUGAGGAAUACAUCGGAAUCUACCUUUUCGUGGGGGAUAACGUAGGGAAACUUACGCUAAUACCGCAUACGCCCUUCGGGGGAAAGCCGGGGAUCGCAAGACCUGGCGCGGAUAGAUGAGCCGAUGUCGGAUUAGCUAGUUGGUGAGGUAAUGGCUCACCAAGGCGACGAUCCGUAGCUGGUCUGGAGAGGAUGAUCAGCCACACUGGAACUGAGACGACGGUCCAGACCUCCGUACGGGAGGCAGCGAGGUAGGGAAUAGUAGGACGAAGUGGGACGCGAAGCCGUGACUCCACGCCCAGUACCGGCGUGGGG
RNAcentral lists this ribosomal RNA (401 nucleotides) under uncultured soil bacterium. RNAcentral describes it as "bacterial SSU rRNA". It matches the Rfam family "Bacterial small subunit ribosomal RNA", at positions 26 to 406 of the family's 1533-position model. The record is from RNAcentral.